RNAcentral lists this ribosomal RNA (261 nucleotides) under uncultured bacterium. RNAcentral's name for it is "partial 16S ribosomal RNA". It matches the Rfam family "Bacterial small subunit ribosomal RNA", at positions 524 to 785 of the family's 1533-position model. The record is from RNAcentral.
UACGAAGGGGGCUAGCGUUGCUCGGAAUCACUGGGCGUAAAGCGCACGUAGGCGGGUCCUUAAGUCAGGGGUGAAAUUCCGGAGCUCAACUCCGGAACUGCCUUUGAUACUGGGGAUCUUGAGUCCGGAAGAGGUGAGUGGAACUCCGAGUGUAGAGGUGAAAUUCGUAGAUAUUCGGAAGAACACCAGUGGCGAAGGCGGCUCACUGGUCCGGUACUGACGCUGAGGUGCGAAAGCGUGGGGAGCAAACAGGAUAGAUAC